CCAGACUCCUACGGGAGGCAGCAGUGAGGAAUAUUGGUCAAUGGGCGGAAGCCUGAACCAGCCAAGUCGCGUGAGGGAAGAAGGCCCUGCGGGUCGCAGACCUCUUUGGACGGGGAGCAAGGCCGCCGACGUGUCGGCGGAAGGAGAGUAACCGUAGAACAAGCAUCGGCUAACUCCGUGCCAGCAGCCGCGGUAAUACGGAGGAUGCGAGCGUUAUCCGGAUUUAUUGGGUUUAAAGGGUGCGCAGGCGGCGCGGCAAGCCGGCGGUAAAAGCGCGGGGCUCAACCCCGCCCAGCCGUCGGAACUGCCGGGCUAGAGUGGGCGAGAAGUGCGCGGAAUGCGUGGUGUAGCGGUGAAAUGCAUAGAUAUCACGAAGAACCCCGAUUGCGAAGGCAGCAUACCGGCUCCACGCUGACGCUGAGGCACGAAAGCGUGGGUAUCGAACAGGAUUAGAUACCCUAGUAC
Molecule: ribosomal RNA, 465 nt
Filed under: uncultured bacterium
Lineage: Bacteria
Description: bacterial SSU rRNA
Rfam family: Bacterial small subunit ribosomal RNA
Source: RNAcentral